CCUCCAGUCCCCGGGACCGGUCUCACAGACCAGUGGACCCCCGCUGUCGCCCUGGCAACCACACCCCAGGCCUUGUCACACAUCAACAAGACCUGAUGGGUCGAACCAAUUCAGCUCAGAGCACGACAGUGCUUCAGUCAGCACAAAACAUCCGGGGAGUUAGGAGGCCUCCGUAGACAUGCCGUUGGGAGCACGUGGCUGGGGAUAUGAUCUGAACGCACGCCUGUUGGAGCUCGUCGGACAGCAGCCCUGGAAGAGAAAAACUACCCAUCAUUCAGCAGCCUGCAUUGGGAGGGAAGGACGCGCUGGGACUGGGCAGACAAACAGGCCGCACGCCCCCUGGUGGACAGCAGACGACACAAGGCAAACAAUGUAACGGUAGAUGAUAGAAAAAAUAAGUUAACUCAGAAAAGUAAUUAUAAUCAAUAACUGCUAUCAUAAAAAUGACAAUAAUGAUAAAAUAAUUAUAAUAAAUAAUUUUAUGAUGA
Molecule: long non-coding RNA, 488 nt
Organism: Gadus macrocephalus (Pacific cod)
Lineage: Eukaryota; Metazoa; Chordata; Actinopteri; Gadiformes; Gadidae
Exons: 3
Source: RefSeq, a predicted model, not a curated record